Molecule: ribosomal RNA, 721 nt
Filed under: uncultured bacterium
Lineage: Bacteria
Description: bacterial SSU rRNA
Rfam family: Bacterial small subunit ribosomal RNA
Source: RNAcentral
GAUGAGAGUUUGAUCCUGGCUCAGAUUGAACGCUGGCGGCAGGCUUAACACAUGCAAGUCGAGCGGAGAUGAGGUGCUUGCACCUUAUCUUAGCGGCGGACGGGUGAGUAAUGCUUAGGAAUCUGCCUAUUAGUGGGGGACAACAUUCCGAAAGGAAUGCUAAUACCGCAUACGUCCUACGGGAGAAAGCAGGGGAUCUUCGGACCUUGCGCUAAAUGAUGAGCCUAAGUCGGAUUAGCUAGUUGGUGGGGUAAAGGCCUACCAAGGCGACGAUCUGUAGCGGGUCUGAGAGGAUGAUCCGCCACACUGGGACUGAGACACGGCCCAGACUCCUACGGGAGGCAGCAGUGGGGAAUAUUGGACAAUGGGCGGAAGCCUGAUCCAGCCAUGCCGCGUGUGUGAAGAAGGCCUUUUGGUUGUAAAGCACUUUAAGCGAGGAGGAGGCUACCUGGAUUAAUACUCUGGGAUAGUGGACGUUACUCGCAGAAUAAGCACCGGCUAACUCUGUGCCAGCAGCCGCGGUAAUACAGAGGGUGCGAGCGUUAAUCGGAUUUACUGGGCGUAAAGCGUGCGUAGGCGGCUUUUUAAGUCGGAUGUGAAAUCCCCGAGCUUAACUUGGGAAUUGCAUUCGAUACUGGGAAGCUAGAGUAUGGGAGAGGAUGGUAGAAUUCCAGGUGUAGCGGUGAAAUGCGUAGAGAUCUGGAGGAAUACCGAUGGCGAA